Molecule: ribosomal RNA, 410 nt
Filed under: uncultured bacterium
Lineage: Bacteria
Description: bacterial SSU rRNA
Rfam family: Bacterial small subunit ribosomal RNA
Source: RNAcentral
GUGGGGAAUAUUGCACAAUGGGCGCAAGCCUGAUGCAGCGACGCCGCGUGAGGGAUGACGGCCUUCGGGUUGUAAACCUCUUUCGACCCUGACGAAGCGCAAGUGACGGUAGGGGGAGAAGAAGCACCGGCCAACUACGUGCCAGCAGCCGCGGUAAGACGUAGGGUGCGAGCGUUGUCCGGAUUUAUUGGGCGUAAAGAGCUCGUAGGCGGCUCGUCGCGUCGACCGUGAAAACCCGCGGCUUAACUGCGGGCUUGCGGUUGAUACGGGCGGGCUAGAGUUCGGUAGGGGAGACUGGAAUUCCUGGUGUAGCGGUGAAAUGCGCAGAUAUCAGGAGGAACACCGGUGGCGAAGGCGGGUCUCUGGGCCGAUACUGACGCUGAGGAGCGAAAGCGUGGGGAGCGAACAGG